Molecule: ribosomal RNA, 276 nt
Filed under: uncultured Bacteroides sp.
Lineage: Bacteria; Pseudomonadati; Bacteroidota; Bacteroidia; Bacteroidales; Bacteroidaceae
Description: partial 16S ribosomal RNA
Rfam family: Bacterial small subunit ribosomal RNA
Source: RNAcentral
AGCAUGAACUUAGCUUGCUAAGUUUGAUGGCGACCGGCGCACGGGUGAGUAACACGUAUCCAACCUUCCGUUUACUCAGGGAUAGCCUUUCGAAAGAAAGAUUAAUACCUGAUAGUAUGGUGAGAUUGCAUGAUAGCACCAUUAAAGAUUUAUCGGUGUACGAUGGGGAUGCGUUCCAUUAGAUAGUAGGCGGGGUAACGGCCCACCUAGUCUUCGAUGGAUAGGGGUUCUGAGAGGAAGGUCCCCACAUUGGAACUGAGACACGGUCCAAACUCC